GACGAACGCUGGCGGCGUGCCUAAUACAUGCAAGUAGAACGCUGAAGAGAGGAGCUUGCUCUUCUUGGAUGAGUUGCGAACGGGUGAGUAACGCGUAGGUAACCUGCCUUGUAGCGGGGGAUGACUAUUGGAAACGAUAGCUAAUACCGCAUAACAAUGGAUGACACAUGUCAUUUAUUUGAAAGGGGCAAUUGCUCCACUACAAGAUGGACCUGCGUUGUAUUAGCUAGUAGGUGAGGUAAUGGCUCACCUAGGCGACGAUACAUAGCCGACCUGAGAGGGUGAGCGGCCACACUGGGACUGAGACACGGCCCAGACUCCUACGGGAGGCAGCAGUAGGGAAUCUUCGGCAAUAGGGGCAACCCUGACCGAGCAACGCCGCGUGAGGGAAGAAGGUUUUCGGAUCGGAAAGUUCUGUUGUAAGUCAAGAACGGGUGUGAGAGUGGAAAGUUCACACUGUGACGGUAGCUUACCAGAAAGGGACGGCUAACUACGUG
RNAcentral lists this ribosomal RNA (497 nucleotides) under uncultured bacterium. Its description in RNAcentral is "partial 16S ribosomal RNA". It matches the Rfam family "Bacterial small subunit ribosomal RNA", at positions 28 to 507 of the family's 1533-position model. The record is from RNAcentral.